This is a transfer RNA of Pyrenochaeta sp. DS3sAY3a, 99 nucleotides long. It matches the Rfam family "tRNA". Rfam says of the family: Transfer RNA (tRNA) molecules are approximately 80 nucleotides in length. Their secondary structure includes four short double-helical elements and three loops (D, anti-codon, and T loops). The record is from Rfam. NCBI's taxonomy places the organism in Eukaryota, Fungi, Ascomycota, Dothideomycetes, Pleosporales, Cucurbitariaceae.
GGUGAGAUGGCCGAGUGGUUAAGGCGAUGUGUUUAGGUAAGCAAUUGCAUACCCGAACCGCAUUCCGAAAGGGCGUGGGUUCGAAUCCCACUCUCAUCA